Molecule: ribosomal RNA, 106 nt
Filed under: uncultured bacterium
Lineage: Bacteria
Description: partial 16S ribosomal RNA
Source: RNAcentral
GAUACUGUCAUUAUCAUCUCUGGCGAAAGAGCUUUACGACCCUAAGGCCUUCGUCACUCACGCGGCAUGGCUAGAUCAGGCUUGCGCCCAUUGUCUAAGAUUCCCC